RNAcentral lists this ribosomal RNA (582 nucleotides) under uncultured bacterium. RNAcentral describes it as "bacterial SSU rRNA". It matches the Rfam family "Bacterial small subunit ribosomal RNA", at positions 224 to 823 of the family's 1533-position model. The record is from RNAcentral.
GAGGGGCUUGCGGCCUAUCAGCUAGUUGGCGGGGUAACGGCCCACCAAGGCGACGACGGGUAGCUGGUCUGAGAGGACGRCCAGCMGGACUGGGACUGAGACACGGCCCAGACUCCUACGGGGGGCAGCAAUCAGGAAUCUUGCGCAAUGGGCGAAAGCCUGACGCAGCGAUGCCGCGUGGACGAUGAAGUCUUUCGGGAUGUAAAGUCCUUUUGGCGGGGAAGAUGAUGACGGUACCCGCCGAAUAAGCCCCGGCUAACUACGUGCCAGCAGCCGCGGUAAUACGUAGGGGGCGAGCGUUGUCCGGAAUUACUGGGCGUAAAGGGCGCGCAGGCGGCCCGCUAAGUCCGCUGUGAAAGACCGGGGCUCAACCCCGGGGUGUCAGCGGAGACUGGUGGGCUAGGGUGUCGGAGAGGGAUGCGGAAUACCUGGUGUAGCGGUGGAAUGCGUAGAGAUCAGGUGGAACACCGAUGGCGAAGGCAGCAUCCUGGCCGGAGACCGACGCUGAGGCGCGAAAGCUGGGGGAGCGAACGGGAUUAGAUACCCCGGUAGUCCCAGCCGUAAACGAUGUCGACUAGGUGU